Molecule: ribosomal RNA, 253 nt
Filed under: uncultured bacterium
Lineage: Bacteria
Description: partial 16S ribosomal RNA
Rfam family: Bacterial small subunit ribosomal RNA
Source: RNAcentral
UACGGGGGGGGCAAGCGUUGUUCGGAAUUACUGGGCGUAAAGGGUGCGUAGGCGGUCCGCUAAGUUGGAUGUGAAAUCCUGGAGCUCAACUCCAGAACUGCCUUUGAUACUGGCGAUCUUGAGUCCGGGAGAGGUGAGUGGAACUCCGAGUGUAGAGGUGAAAUUCGUAGAUAUUCGGAAGAACACCAGUGGCGAAGGCGGCUCACUGGCCCGGUACUGACGCUGAGGUGCGAAAGCGUGGGGAGCAAACAGG